ACAGCAGUCGCCACGGUAAUACGUAGGUGGCAAGCGUUGUCCGGAAUUAUUGGGCGUAAAGGGCUCGCAGGCGGUUUCUUAAGUCUGAUGUGAAAGCCCCCGGCUCAACCGGGGAGGGUCACUGGAAACUGGGAAACUUGAGUGCAGAAGAGGAGAGUGGAAUUCCACGUGUAGCGGUGAAAUGCGUAGAGAUGUGGAGGAACACCAGUGGCGAAGGCGACUCUCUGGUCUGUAACUGACGCUGAGGAGUGAAAGCGUGGGGAGCAAACAGGAUUAGAUACCCGCGUAGUCCCUGUCUCUUAUAC
Molecule: ribosomal RNA, 305 nt
Filed under: uncultured bacterium
Lineage: Bacteria
Description: partial 16S ribosomal RNA
Rfam family: Bacterial small subunit ribosomal RNA
Source: RNAcentral